Molecule: ribosomal RNA, 431 nt
Filed under: uncultured bacterium
Lineage: Bacteria
Description: partial 16S ribosomal RNA
Rfam family: Bacterial small subunit ribosomal RNA
Source: RNAcentral
AGCGAACGCUGGCGGCAGGCCUAACACAUGCAAGUCGAACGAACUCUUCGGAGUUAGUGGCGGACGGGUGAGUAACACGUGGGAACGUGCCUUUUGGUUCGGAAUAACUCAGGGAAACUUGUGCUAAUACCGAAUGUGCCCUUCGGGGGAAAGAUUUAUCGCCAUUAGAGCGGCCCGCGUCUGUUUAGCUAGUUGGUGAGGUAACGGCUCACCAAGGCGACGAUCAGUAGCUGGUCUGAGGAUGACCAGCCACACUGGGACUGAGACAUGGCCCAGACUCCUACGGGAGGCAGCAGUGGGGAAUCUUGCGCAAUGGGCGAAAGCCUGACGCAGCCAUGCCGCGUGAAUGAUGAAGGUCUUAGGAUUGUAAAAUUCUUUCACCGGGGACGAUAAUGACGGUACCCGGAGAAGAAGCCCCGGCUAACUUCGUG